This 510-nucleotide ribosomal RNA is filed under the name Collembola sp. LACM RW17.110.3486. Its description in RNAcentral is "partial large subunit ribosomal RNA". It matches the Rfam family "Bacterial large subunit ribosomal RNA", at positions 1811 to 2608 of the family's 2925-position model. Lineage: Eukaryota; Metazoa; Arthropoda; Collembola. The record is from RNAcentral.
AAACAUUUCUUUUGAGUUUAUUUAUAAAGUAAGGCCUGCCCACUGUAUAAAUAAAGGGCCGCGGUAUUUUGACCGUGCAAAGGUAGCAUAAUCAUUAGUUCCUUAAUUAGGGAAUAGUAUGAAUGGCUAAACGUAGUGUUGUUUUAUUAAUUAAAUAAAGUGAAUUUGAAUUUUAAGUGAAAAUGCUUAAAUUAGUUAAUAGACGAUAAGACCCUAUAGAGCUUUAUUUUACGGGUAGCUUAUUAUAAUAGUUAAGAUUAUAAGUUAUUAUUAAAAUUUUGUUGGGGCAACAUAAGAAUAAAUAAAUCUUCUUAUUAUAAGUUUUUAUUAAAUAUAAUAUCUUUUAUUAAUAAAUUUAAAAAAAGUUACCUUAGGGAUAACAGCGUAAUUAAAAUUGAGAGCCCGUAUCGACAUUUUAGUUUGCGACCUCGAUGUUGAAUUAAGAAAUCUAAAUGGGGCAGCUUUUGUUUAAGAUAGUCUGUUCGACUAUUAAAUUCUUACAUGAUCUGA